RNAcentral lists this long non-coding RNA (1125 nucleotides) under Malus domestica (apple). RNAcentral describes it as "long non-coding RNA (MDOM_LNC006342)". The record is from RNAcentral. Lineage: Eukaryota; Viridiplantae; Streptophyta; Magnoliopsida; Rosales; Rosaceae.
AGCAUUCGUGCUUGUAAGCACUGUAUUCAUUCCCAUCGGAGUUGCUUCCCUUUUUGCUUCUCGAGAUGUAUGGCUGAUUUAAACCCAAUUCUCUGCCUAAUCUGUUUUUUUUUUCUAGUACUACAUGUAGUUGAUCAGGAAAAUGAUGUUUCUGUCAGGUUGUUGAAAUUAUUAAUCGUUAUGAAACUGAUUGCAUACCAAUACCCGCAGUCUUCAGAAACUAAACAGCUCAUUGAAUCUUAUCUUUCCGUAUGGAAAGAUGAAAGACUUCACUAAAGCUGAAAAUUAGAUUUUAAAAUACUUAUCUUUCCGUAAGAAGGGAAUACAAAUUUGUGGUUCUUUUUGGUAUUUGAGUUUAUAUAUUUUCAGAUCUGAGUUAUUGUUUAUUUUGUUUUAGUUUUAUAUAUUUUCAGGAUCCCAAGUUCACGAGGAACCAAAGGUAUUCCCUUCUUACUUUCUUUAUCCCUCCAUUUUCUUGGCUCUUGUAAAUUGUGUGGUUUUUCUUUACCUUUGCAUUUGAUAUUCAUGACUUCUGUGAGGGUCCAUAUACUGCAUGUCAUCUGGUUAAUUCGUUUUUGGAGCAGCAAAGAGUUGAUGAGGUGCAAGGCCUGCUGGGGAAGAUGCAUCUGUCCAAAAAUGUUUGCCUUCGAGUUUUUUUUAUUUUUAUUUUGGUAUUAGAGAGAAGAUAUGUAACAUUACAAUAUAUGUUUGUGAGAUUCAGAAAGUGAAACUUGGUUUCAUGGUUGUAGGCUUUCUUCAUUUCAUGAAAAUUUAAUUUUUUUUCAUUUCCUCAAUUUAGUUUCAAUUUUUCAAUUUUUUUAUUUUUUUAUUAAUUAAUUCAUGUUGGCACAAUUAUAAUAUAAGUGCCAACAUGGCUGGAAAAGCUUAUCUGAAAAAGUUGUUAGAACGGGGCACAAAUGGACCACUGUUUGUGCUUGCCUCUUUGGCACAAAUACACUAUUGUGCUCUUUUAGCAAUGGUGACGCCCGUAGAGUGCACAUACACAAAGAUAGUAGCUGCAUUGUUGCUAUUAGUCUAUGAGCACAAUUGUUGGUGCUUUUUGGCCUCAAGGGGCACAUAUAAUUUAUUGUGCGCAGUGGCCAUUUUUGUUGUAGUGAAAUAGAU